AAUCUUCCGCAAUGGACGAAAGUCUGACGGAGCAACGCCGCGUGAGUGAUGAAGGUCUUCGGAUCGUAAAACUCUGUUGUUAGGGAAGAACAAGUAUCGUUCGAAUAGGGCGGUACCUUGACGGUACCUAACCAGAAAGCCACGGCUAACUACGUGCCAGCAGCCGCGGUAAUACGUAGGUGGCAAGCGUUAUCCGGAAUUAUUGGGCGUAAAGCGCGCGCAGGCGGUUUCUUAAGUCUGAUGUGAAAGCCCACGGCUCAACCGUGGAGGGUCAUUGGAAACUGGGAAGCUUGAGUGCAGAAGAGGAGAGUGGAAUUCCAUGUGUAGCGGUGAAAUGCGUAGAUAUUAGGAGGAAUACCAGUGGCGAAGGCGACUUUCUGGACUUUUUCUGACGCUGAGGAACGAAAGCAUGGGGAGCAAACA
This 423-nucleotide ribosomal RNA is filed under the name uncultured bacterium. RNAcentral's name for it is "partial 16S ribosomal RNA". It matches the Rfam family "Bacterial small subunit ribosomal RNA", at positions 360 to 774 of the family's 1533-position model. The record is from RNAcentral.